GCUAACUCCGUGCCAGCAGCCGCGGUAAUACGGAGGAUGCAAGCGUUAUCCGGAUUCAUUGGGUUUAAAGGGUGCGCAGGUGGGAAUGUAAGUCAGUGGUGAAAUACUGCCGCUUAACGGUAGAGCUGCCAUUGAUACUGCGUUUCUUGAGUAUGGUUGAGGUAGGUGGAAUGUGUUGUGUAGCGGUGAAAUGCAUAGAUAUGACACAGAACGCCGAUUGCGAAGGCAACUUACUAAGCCAUUACUGACGCUGAGGCACGAAAGCGUGGGUAGCGAACAGGAUUAGAUACCCUGGUAGUC
This 300-nucleotide ribosomal RNA is filed under the name uncultured Tangfeifania sp. RNAcentral's name for it is "bacterial SSU rRNA". It matches the Rfam family "Bacterial small subunit ribosomal RNA", at positions 496 to 795 of the family's 1533-position model. Lineage: Bacteria; Pseudomonadati; Bacteroidota; Bacteroidia; Marinilabiliales; Prolixibacteraceae. The record is from RNAcentral.